UACGGGGGGGGCAAGCGUUGUUCGGAAUUACUGGGCGUAAAGGGCUCGUAGGCGGCCAACUAAGUCAGACGUGAAAUCCCUCGGCUUAACCGGGGAACUGCGUCUGAUACUGGAUGGCUUGAAUCCGGGAGAGGGAUGCGGAAUUCCAGGUGUAGCGGUGAAAUGCGUAGAUAUGCGGAGGAACACCGAUGGCGAAGGCAAUCCCCUGGGCCUGCACUGACGCUCAUGCACGAAAGCGUGGGGAGCAAACAGG
RNAcentral lists this ribosomal RNA (253 nucleotides) under uncultured bacterium. RNAcentral's name for it is "partial 16S ribosomal RNA". It matches the Rfam family "Bacterial small subunit ribosomal RNA", at positions 524 to 776 of the family's 1533-position model. The record is from RNAcentral.